AGUUUCAGUCUCGAGGUCCCCGGGCUGCUUCUUAUUUAUGAUCAGAUCAAGGGUAUAAGGUGUCAGUGGGGGCAGCCAGCAGUCAUAGGCCAGAGAGGGGCGACUGCCCGUCCCAAGGGCUUGUCACAGGGUAAGUAACCGACAGACUGGGAAAGGAAGGAGGCAAUCUUCAGCCACUCGGUCACUCAUUCUAAAUUCACUCUCAUUUUUUGGGCAUCUAUUGUGCAAGCCCUGUGGACUUAAAAAGAGAAAUAAGACGCCGUCCCUGCCCUCGGGAGCUCCCGGCGCAUCUGCCCCAACAACUCGCUGAAGCCGCCUGCAGGACGCCUGAGUGAGGACAAGGUGUCUCACUCAGAAAAUUUGCUUGAUUCUUCCUGGCAAGUGGGACAGGUCCCUGCAGUUGCUGGGGAAAGUGGACUCUUCUGGUAGCUGCUUUUACAGCCCCUGCCCUCAGAGGCCCCCCAGGUGGGAAGGGCCUGCCUCCUAGGCAGUGGGUGGUCACCGAGGACUGACUUUGAACCCGGGGCAAGGGAGCCCCAGAAGGCUGGAGGCCUGCACACGGCACUGGAAGAAACAAACUGCAAAGGC
Homo sapiens (human) is the source of this 588-nucleotide long non-coding RNA. Ensembl lists it as uncharacterized. NCBI's taxonomy places the organism in Eukaryota, Metazoa, Chordata, Mammalia, Primates, Hominidae. The record is from Ensembl.